GACGAACGCUGGCGGCGUGCUUAACACAUGCAAGUCGAACGGAAAGGCCCUUCGGGGUUCUCGAGUUGCGAACGGGUGAGUAACACGUGGGUGAUCUGCCCUGCACUUUGGGAUAAGCCUGGGAAACUGGGUCUAAUACCGAAUAGGACCACGCGCUUCAUGGUGAUUGGUGGAAAGCUUUUGCGGUGUGGGAUGGGCCCGCGGCCUAUCAGCUUGUUGGUGGGGUAAUGGCCUACCAAGGCGACGACGGGUAGCCGGCCUGAGAGGGUGACCGGCCACACUGGGACUGAGAUACGGCCCAGACUCCUACGGGAGGCAGCAGUGGGGAAUAUUGCACAAUGGGCGCAAGCCUGAUGCAGCGACGCCGCGUGAGGGAUGACGGCCUUCGGGUUGUAAACCUCUUUCAAUAGGGACGAAGCGCGAGUGACGGUACCUAUAGAAGAAGCACCGGCCAACUACGUG
RNAcentral lists this ribosomal RNA (462 nucleotides) under uncultured bacterium. RNAcentral describes it as "partial 16S ribosomal RNA". It matches the Rfam family "Bacterial small subunit ribosomal RNA", at positions 28 to 507 of the family's 1533-position model. The record is from RNAcentral.